RNAcentral lists this long non-coding RNA (444 nucleotides) under Elaeis guineensis (African oil palm). RNAcentral's name for it is "long non-coding RNA (EGUI_LNC037576)". Lineage: Eukaryota; Viridiplantae; Streptophyta; Magnoliopsida; Arecales; Arecaceae. The record is from RNAcentral.
CUACUUAAGAUGGUUGCAAUCUGAUCCCUGCGCUCUUUUGAAAUACCAAUCCCUAGAACCAUAGACUUCUCAAAGUUAAUUUUUAAACCCGAGAGUAGUUCUUAGGAGUAAAGUAUAAACUUUAAAAUAGUGAUGUUUUUUUUAAGCACAAUACUAAAGAUGAGAGUGUCGUCUGAAAAUUGGAGGUUAUGAAAAUGGCCGGUGAUCUCUUUUUCUCCGAUGCAUUUUACCAUUUGGUGUGUAGUUGCUGUUUUGAGGAUUCUAUCUAGAGUGUCAACCAGUAGAAUAAAUAGCUAGGGUGAGAGCGGGUCUCGUUGUCAUAACCCUCUAUAAUGUCUGAACAUUUUUCUUAAUGUACCAUUGAUUAGGAUUAAUGAUUUAGCUAUGGAGACAAUGUCUAUAAUCCACCUACGCCACUUGUCUCCAAAUCCUCUUAUUCUUAAG